ACCAACAUUUUCUUAAUAGGCCCUUCAUACAUACAUAUAUUUAUUUAUCAUUUGUUCAUACAUUCAUAAUAAAAAAUAAUUGAGGAGUAAGAAAUCUCAAAUUCAUUAUUUUAAGAAGUUUAUCCCAAUUUGUAUCAAACUGCCAUUAUUGACUGCUGAUUUUAAUUAAAAUUGCUGUAUAAAUUAGAAUCAAACAGGCUUGUUCUUUUUGUAUAUUUCAUACUUUUUUUUCUUUCUUUUUUUUUAUCCUGUACAUGUCUGUUUUUUUAAAGGCUAAUUUCCAGAAAACAACAAUACAUAAAAAUAAACGAGAAAAGAAAAAAAACUAAACAGCAACAUAUUAUUUGCUUGUUUUCUUUUGUUUUUCUUUUCUGGUUGAAAAUGGUUAAAAUUUUUUUGCUUAAUUUAGCAAAAAGUUUUUGUUCCUAAUCACUUAACUUUACAGAAUUUACUAGAUGGGUAAUCCAGAAUGUAAAUUAUUUAAAGGAGAACAUAUCCUUUUUUAGACAUAUUUUCUAAAUUUUUGUCUAUUACCUUAUUUUAAUUAAUUUGCUCUCGAUUUUCCUUUGGAAUCAACCAGAAUUUUUCUUCUGUAAUUUUAAUGUGUUUCAAAUGUUCAGUGAUUAGUUUUUAAAAAAUCCCCACAAAAACCUGGAAGAGAAUGGUUUAAUGAUAUUCACAUGGGCCAUUCUCUUACUUGUUUGUCCUUCGGAAAGAUUUAUCUGGAAAUUAUGCUGUUUAUUUUUUCAUUACUUGUUUUAUUAAUUUAUUUUCUUAUUUGCUCUCCUUUAUACAUAAAUAGACACUUUCUCUGUGAUAUACUGCUAUCGUUAGGAAGAUAAGGUUUUUCCGGGUCAGUAUUUCUAUCUCUUGAUAAAGUUAUUUUUAUUCUCCUUAAAAACAAUUGAUAAAUGAUCUCAGGGUCUACUUCAGAUGUCAUAAACAAAAACAAGCUUUGAUAAUAAUUGAUAGUUAUACCAAAUAACCUAAAACAAAGAUAGACAAAUAGAAAAACAUGAGCAAACUAUAACAAGUCGAAACGAAUCAGAUGACAUGAAAGACUCUUUAUUUACAUCUUCUUAUCUCAUAUUGAUUAUUUUCAUUUACUCAAGUUCUCCCACCAACUGUCUCAGCUGAUAAUUAAGCAUCAUACUGCAGAACAGAUAAAAAUUUGGUUCUGUUUUCAGUGACUAAGAUAGUUACAUUUUCUCUUCAUUAUGUUUAUUUAUUAAUGAUUCUAUAAAAAGAACUUUCUUAAUCAAAUGGGGUUUGUUUCAUCAGAUCUAAAGUCUUAAUGAUCCAAAUGAUAUCUACAUAGAUCUUUAAAUAUUUUAUAUUUAAAAUUCAGACAUCAAGGUGUGUUUUUUUUUUUAAUUUUGUUUUUUUUUUAAUUUUAUUUUUUUGUUAGGGAAAAAAUGAAUUAAAAAGAAACAGGUCUCCUACUCUCUGCUAUACACAACUAUUUGUAUUUGUGAUUGACCCCUUCUGAUAAUUAGCUCCACAUUACUGCUGGUUAAUAAUGGCAUAGCAUACACAUUACUUUUGUAACUUGUUUUGACUUUAGUAUCAGACUCAGUAGGUCUCUGUUUAUAACAAUAUAUAUUCAGUCCAGAAGGUGGAGCUAAAAUGCCAUAUGUCUUGGCAUUUAUCAUGAAACCUUUUGAGACACUACACAAAUUAGGUCAUGUUGUUGGAUACAUAAGAAUGGGCUAAUUUUUUUAAUUGUUGCAGUAUAUUGUGUUAUUGCUUAACUGGAAAAAGAAAUAUAUACAUGGUAAAUGUUAGUGUGUUCUUUAAAAAAAGCAAAAAAAAAGUUUUAAAAAAACCCUAUCCCACCACAAAUUCAGUCACAAGCCUAAAGGAUUAUAAACCGAAAUUAAUUUAAAUUCUGUAUGUAAUCUUCCUUUUGUAUCAUUAAGGAUAAAUAUAUAUUUAUAUAUACAUAUAUUUUUGUUGCUGUUUAUAUAUGUUUGAUAUUUUUCUGGGGCAAUAUGAAAUUUGUUCCGUGUACAUUGUAAAUUUUGCAUAUAUAUUUAUUAUUUUUCAUUAAAUUAAGCCUUAUAUGUUAAU
Molecule: long non-coding RNA, 2070 nt
Filed under: Octopus vulgaris (common octopus)
Lineage: Eukaryota; Metazoa; Mollusca; Cephalopoda; Octopoda; Octopodidae
Source: RNAcentral